Molecule: ribosomal RNA, 379 nt
Filed under: Penaeopsis serrata
Lineage: Eukaryota; Metazoa; Arthropoda; Malacostraca; Decapoda; Penaeidae
Description: partial 16S ribosomal RNA
Rfam family: Bacterial large subunit ribosomal RNA
Source: RNAcentral
AUAAUCAUUAGUCUUUUAAUUGGAGGCUUGUAUGAAUGGUUGGACAAAAAGCAAACUGUCUCAAUUAUAUUAAUUGAAUUUAACUUUUAAGUGAAAAGGCUUAAAUAAACUAAAGGGACGAUAAGACCCUAUAAAGCUUUACAAUUAUUUAAUUAAAUUAUAAAUUGUUAGUAUAACUUAAUUUAAUUGAUAUUUGUUUCGUUGGGGCGACGAGAAUAUAAUUUUAUAUAACUGUUCUUUUGUAAUUAAUUACAAAUUUGUUUGGGUAAAAAUUGAUCCUUUAUUAGAGAUUAAAAGAUUAAGUUACUUUAGGGAUAACAGCGUAAUCUUCUUUGAGAGUCCAUAUCGACAAGAAGGGUUGCGACCUCGAUGUUGAAUU